CGUCGACAAGUACAACAUCCUCUCCCGCUUCACCUGCAACGCGUUCUACCUCGACUCCAAGUCCACCAUCGGCGUCGAGUUCGCCACCCGCACCCUCCUCGCGACAAAGUGCGGCUGGACGAACGAGGCUGCUAUUCUGCCUUGAUCUGCACACAAAGAGUUCUUGGACCUGACCUGAAGCAAGGAUACCUGCGGCUGCAAGCCAACAAUGUCUGAAGACAGGCGCUGCUUGUCGAUGUUCUCCGCAUAACGAUAGGCUUCCAUGCUCGUCCCUGGACCAGAUGUUCAAGUACAGCCCCAUCCACUGCAUCGACCUAGAGUCAAGUGAAUGGAGCUUGUGUUGUUGGUAGAACUCCAUUGAUGACUUCUUCCUAUGUUGAAGAGCAUGUUCCGUGGUAUCCAAGAGUAGAUAGAUUUACACUGGCAGAGCGUUUUAUUUGUCGAUCGCAAUGUUUGUGAUUGUGUGGAAUAUUGUAUGGUUAUCUACAUGAAGUUUGAAGUUCCUGGGCGUGCAAUAUUUGAUGGUCAAACAAGUUGUUGUGAUGUGAACGAGUGUAUGGAGUUUCACAUGUUUUGUUCUGUA
This 583-nucleotide ribosomal RNA is filed under the name Triticum aestivum (bread wheat). RNAcentral's name for it is "partial small subunit ribosomal RNA". The record is from RNAcentral. Lineage: Eukaryota; Viridiplantae; Streptophyta; Magnoliopsida; Poales; Poaceae.